Molecule: ribosomal RNA, 558 nt
Filed under: uncultured bacterium
Lineage: Bacteria
Description: bacterial SSU rRNA
Rfam family: Bacterial small subunit ribosomal RNA
Source: RNAcentral
UUUCNNUGGGGGAACCCUGAUGGAGCGACGCCGCGUGGGGGAUGAAUGGCUUCGGCCCGUAAACCCCUGUCAUUCGGGAUCAAUGCCUAUUAUUUAAAAGAUGAUAGGUUGAUAGUACCGGAAGAGGAAGGGACGGCUAACUCUGUGCCAGCAGCCGCGGUAAUACAGAGGUCCCAAGCGUUGUUCGGAUUUACUGGGCGUAAAGGGUGCGUAGGUGGUUGGGUAAGUCUGAUGUGAAAUCUCGGAGCUUAACUCCGAAACGGCAUUGGAUACUAUUCAGCUUGAGAGUUGGAGGGGGGACUGGAAUGCUCGGUGUAGCAGUGAAAUGCGUAGAUAUCGAGCGGAACACCAGUGGCGAAGGCGAGUCCCUGGACAACUUCUGACACUGAGGCACGAAAGCCAGGGGAGCAAACGGGAUUAGAUACCCCGGUAGUCCUGGCCCUAAACGGUGCACGUUUGCUGUAAAAGGAAUCGACCCCUUUUGUGGCGUAGCCAACGCGUUAAACGUGCCGCCUGGGAAUUACGGUCGCAAGAUUAAAACUCAAAAAAAUUGACGGA